UACGGAGGGGGUUAGCGUUGUUCGGAACUACUGGGCGUAAAGCGCGCGUAGGCGGAUUAGAAAGUUGGGGGUGAAAUCCCGGGGCUCAACCUCGGAACUGCCUCCAAAACUGCUAGUCUAGAGUUCGAGAGAGGUGAGUGGAAUUCCGAGUGUAGAGGUGAAAUUCGUAGAUAUUCGGAGGAACACCAGUGGCGAAGGCGGCUCACUGGCUCGAUACUGACGCUGAGGUGCGAAAGUGUGGGGAGCAAACAGC
This 253-nucleotide ribosomal RNA is filed under the name uncultured bacterium. RNAcentral describes it as "partial 16S ribosomal RNA". It matches the Rfam family "Bacterial small subunit ribosomal RNA", at positions 524 to 776 of the family's 1533-position model. The record is from RNAcentral.